CCUACGGGAGGCAGCAGUGAGGAAUAUUGGUCAAUGGGCGAGAGCCUGAACCAGCCAAGUCGCGUGAGGGAGUACUGCCCUAUGGGUUGUAAACCUCUUUUGUCGGGGAGCAAAAGCCGGACGUGUCCGGCUGUGAGAGUACCCGAAGAAACAGCAUCGGCUAACUCCGUGCCAGCAGCCGCGGUACUACGGAGGAUGCGAGCGUUAUCCGGAUUUUUUUGGUUUAAAGGGUGCGCAGGCGGAUUUUUAAGUCAGCGGUAAAAUCGUGGGGCGCAACCCCAUCCAGCCGUUGAAACUGGGGAUCUAGAGUGUGCGAGAGGUAUGCGGAAUGCGUGGUGUAGCGGUGAAAUGCAUAGAUAUCACGCAGAACCCCGAUGGCGAAGGCAGCAUACCGGUGCACAACUGACGCUCAGGCACGAAAGCGUGGGUAUCGAACAGGAUUAGAUACCCUUGUAGUC
RNAcentral lists this ribosomal RNA (458 nucleotides) under uncultured bacterium. RNAcentral's name for it is "partial 16S ribosomal RNA". It matches the Rfam family "Bacterial small subunit ribosomal RNA", at positions 338 to 795 of the family's 1533-position model. The record is from RNAcentral.